Molecule: ribosomal RNA, 617 nt
Filed under: Citrobacter freundii
Lineage: Bacteria; Pseudomonadati; Pseudomonadota; Gammaproteobacteria; Enterobacterales; Enterobacteriaceae
Description: partial 23S ribosomal RNA
Rfam family: Bacterial large subunit ribosomal RNA
Source: RNAcentral
ACCCCGAGGAAAAGAAAUCAACCGAGAUUCCCCCAGUAGCGGCGAGCGAACGGGGAGCAGCCCAGAGUCUGAAUCAGCUUGUGUGUUAGUGGAACGGUCUGGAAAGUCCGACGGUACAGGGUGAUAGUCCCGUACACCAAAAUGCACAGGUUGUGAACUCGAAGAGUAGGGCGGGACACGUGGUAUCCUGUCUGAAUAUGGGGGGACCAUCCUCCAAGGCUAAAUACUCCUGACUGACCGAUAGUGAACCAGUACCGUGAGGGAAAGGCGAAAAGAACCCCGGCGAGGGGAGUGAAAAAGAACCUGAAACCGUGUACGUACAAGCAGUGGGAGCCUCUUUAUGGGGUGACUGCGUACCUUUUGUAUAAUGGGUCAGCGACUUAUAUUCUGUAGCAAGGUUAACCGUAUAGGGGAGCCGAAGGGAAACCGAGUCUUAACUGGGCGUUAAGUUGCAGGGUAUAGACCCGAAACCCGGUGAUCUAGCCAUGGGCAGGUUGAAGGUUGGGUAACACUAACUGGAGGACCGAACCGACUAAUGUUGAAAAAUUAGCGGAUGACUUGUGGCUGGGGGUGAAAGGCCAAUCAAACCGGGAGAUAGCUGGUUCUCCCCGAAAGCU